GGAUUAGAUACCCUGGUAGUCCACGCCGUAAACGAUGUCGACUAGCCGUUGGAGACCUUAGAGUCUUUAGUGGCGCAGCUAACGCACUAAGUCGACCGCCUGGGGAGUACGGCCGCAAGGUUAAAACUCAAAUGAAUUGACGGGGGCCCGCACAAGCGGGGGAGCAUGUGGUUUAAUUCGAUGCAACGCGAAGAACCUUACCGCCCCUUGACAUCCUGCGAACUUUCUAGAGAUAGAUUGGUGCCUUCGGGAACGCAGAGACAGGUGCUGCGUGGCUGUCGUCAGCUCGUGUCGUGAGAUGUUGGGUUAAGUCCCGUAACGAGCGCAACCCUUGUCCUUAGUUGCCAGCACGUAAUGGUGGGAACUCUAAGGGGACUGCCGGUGACAAACCGGA
RNAcentral lists this ribosomal RNA (394 nucleotides) under uncultured bacterium. RNAcentral describes it as "bacterial SSU rRNA". It matches the Rfam family "Bacterial small subunit ribosomal RNA", at positions 775 to 1167 of the family's 1533-position model. The record is from RNAcentral.